ACGGGAGGCAGCAGUGGGGAGUAUUGCACAAUGGGCGAAAGCCUGAUGCAGCAACGCCGCGUGAGUGAAGAAGUAUUUCGGUAUGUAAAGCUCUAUCGAUGGGGAAUAAGAUGAAGGUACCCAAGUAAGAAGCCCCGGCUAACUACGUGCCAGCAGCCGCGGUAAUACGUAGGGGGCAAGCGUUAUCCGGAUUUACUGGGUGUAAAGGGAGCGUAGACGGAAUAGCAAGUUUGAAGUGAAAUACCUGGGCUUAACCCAGGAAUUGCUUUGAAAACUGUUAAUCUAGAGUACUGGAGGGGUAUGGGGAAUUCCUAGUGUAGUAGUGAAAUGCGUAGAUAUUAGGAGGAACACCGGAGGCGAAGGCGCCAUACUGGACAGAUACUGACGUUGAGGCUCGAAAGCGUGGGGAGCAAACAGGAUUAGAUACCCUGGUA
RNAcentral lists this ribosomal RNA (434 nucleotides) under uncultured Clostridium sp. Its description in RNAcentral is "partial 16S ribosomal RNA". It matches the Rfam family "Bacterial small subunit ribosomal RNA", at positions 341 to 792 of the family's 1533-position model. RNAcentral also lists the same sequence under 1 other name. The record is from RNAcentral. Lineage: Bacteria; Bacillati; Bacillota; Clostridia; Eubacteriales; Clostridiaceae.